Molecule: transfer RNA, 74 nt
Filed under: Ehrlichia chaffeensis str. Arkansas
Lineage: Bacteria; Pseudomonadati; Pseudomonadota; Alphaproteobacteria; Rickettsiales; Anaplasmataceae
Also listed under: 7 other names
Description: tRNA-Asp (GTC) (tRNA-Asp-GTC-1-1)
Rfam family: tRNA
About the family: Transfer RNA (tRNA) molecules are approximately 80 nucleotides in length. Their secondary structure includes four short double-helical elements and three loops (D, anti-codon, and T loops). Further hydrogen bonds mediate the characteristic L-shaped molecular structure. tRNAs have two regions of fundamental functional importance: the anti-codon, which is responsible for specific mRNA codon recognition, and the 3' end, to which the tRNAs corresponding amino acid is attached (by aminoacyl-tRNA synthetases). tRNAs cope with the degeneracy of the genetic code in two manners: having more than one tRNA (with a specific anti-codon) for a particular amino acid; and 'wobble' base-pairing, i.e. permitting non-standard base-pairing at the 3rd anti-codon position.
Source: Rfam by way of RNAcentral
GGGGGCGUAGUUUAGUUGGUUAGAACAUAAGCCUGUCACGCUUAAGGUCGCGAGUUCGAGUCUCGUCGCUCCCG